This 79-nucleotide ribosomal RNA is filed under the name Escherichia coli. Its description in RNAcentral is "partial 16S ribosomal RNA". It matches the Rfam family "Bacterial small subunit ribosomal RNA", at positions 1 to 79 of the family's 1533-position model. Lineage: Bacteria; Pseudomonadati; Pseudomonadota; Gammaproteobacteria; Enterobacterales; Enterobacteriaceae. The record is from RNAcentral.
AAAUUGAAGAGUUUGAUCAUGGCUCAGAUUGAACGCUGGCGGCAGGCCUAACACAUGCAAGUCGAACGGUAGCAGGAAG